UACGGAGGGUGCAAGCAUUAAUCGGAAUUACUGGGCGUAAAGGGCGCGUAGGCGGGAAUGUAAGUCAAGUGUGAAAUGACGGGGCUCAACCCCGGAACAGCACUUGAUACUGUGUUUCUUGAGGGUAGGCGGAGAAAAUGGAAUUCCACGUGUAGCGGUGAAAUGCGUAGAUAUGUGGAAGAACACCGGUGGCGAAGGCGAUUUUCUAGCUUGGCCCUGACGCUAAUGCGCGAAAGCAAGGGGAGCAAACAGG
This 253-nucleotide ribosomal RNA is filed under the name uncultured bacterium. Its description in RNAcentral is "partial 16S ribosomal RNA". It matches the Rfam family "Bacterial small subunit ribosomal RNA", at positions 524 to 776 of the family's 1533-position model. The record is from RNAcentral.